CCUACGGGUGGCAGCAGUGAGGAAUAUUGGUCAAUGGACGAGAGUCUGAACCAGCCAAGUCGCGUGAAGGAUGACUGCCCUAUGGGUUGUAAACUUCUUUUAUCUGGGAAUAAAAUGUUCCACGUGUGGGAUUUUGUAUGUACCAUAUGAAUAAGGAUCGGCUAACUCCGUGCCAGCAGCCGCGGUAAUACGGAGGAUCCGAGCGUUAUCCGGAUUUAUUGGGUUUAAAGGGAGCGUAGGUGGAUUGUUAAGUCAGUUGUGAAAGUUGGCGGCUCAACCGUAAAACUGCAGUUGAAACUGGCAGUCUUGAGUACAGGAGAGGUGGGCGGAAUGCGUGGUGUAGCGGUGAAAUGCUUAGAUAUCACGAAGAACUCCGAUUGCGAAGGCAGCAUGCUGGCCUCCAACUGACACUGAGGCUCGAAAGUGUGGGUAUCAAACAGGAUUAGAUACCCGUGUAGUC
Molecule: ribosomal RNA, 460 nt
Filed under: uncultured bacterium
Lineage: Bacteria
Description: partial 16S ribosomal RNA
Rfam family: Bacterial small subunit ribosomal RNA
Source: RNAcentral